CCUACGGGCGGCAGCAGUGGGGAAUAUUGGACAAUGGGGGCAACCCUGAUCCAGCCAUGCCGCGUGUGUGAAGAAGGCCCUCGGGUUGUAAAGCACUUUCAGUGAGGAAGAACGCCUGGUGGUUAAUACCCAUCAGGAAAGACAUCACUCACAGAAGAAGCACCGGCUAACUCCGUGCCAGCAGCCGCGGUAAUACGGAGGGUGCGAGCGUUAAUCGGAAUUACUGGGCGUAAAGCGCGCGUAGGUGGCUUGAUAAGCCGGUUGUGAAAGCCCCGGGCUCAACCUGGGAACGGCAUCCGGAACUGUCAAGCUAGAGUGCAGGAGAGGAAGGUAGAAUUACCGGUGGAGCGGUGAAAUGCGUAGAGAUUGGGAGGAAUACCAGUUGCGAAGGCGGCAUUCUGGACUGACACUGAUACUGAGGUGCGAAAGCGUGGGUAGCAAACAGGAUUAGAUACCCGAGUAGUC
This 465-nucleotide ribosomal RNA is filed under the name Vreelandella stevensii. Its description in RNAcentral is "partial 16S ribosomal RNA". It matches the Rfam family "Bacterial small subunit ribosomal RNA", at positions 338 to 795 of the family's 1533-position model. Lineage: Bacteria; Pseudomonadati; Pseudomonadota; Gammaproteobacteria; Oceanospirillales; Halomonadaceae. The record is from RNAcentral.